ACAGGAUAUCACGAGCACCCCGGCCUCUGAUGGCCAGGCUCCACAUGCCAGCCAGCAAAUUGCCCAAGCCCCAGCCUAAAGAGAAGCCAAAAAAAGAGCCUAAACAGAAGACAAAAAAAGAGUCAAGUUCGGCGAAAGGACAAGGACCGGAACCAAAUCCAAAACUUCCAGAAUUGGUUUCUAGCAGUCACGACCUUCAGAACAGGAAAACAGCCUGAAGACAAGUCUGAACUACUCAUCCCAUACUGUGUAGCUCAGCGGCAUGUGUAUAAUGACAAAGUCAUUAUGUAACUUAACCUUGAGCUUUUUUUCUUGUAAUGCUCAGAGACUGAGCCGUUUUUCUAUACUAGGACCCAAUAAUGUCCCAUUGGUAACAGAAUAGGUUCUAGCUUCUUGUUCUUAAAAAAGAAAAAAUCAUUACAGGCAGAGGAAUGUGAGCCCUUUAAAUUUAAUGCUAAGAUAACAUGAAAUGAGGCUACUUACAGAAGAGCUGAGUACUGUUUUUUUAUCCCAAUUUCAUGCAGAGAUACACUCUGGAAAAUUCUUGAUUUGAAAUUUAUGUGCCUCGCUACACCAGCUCCGCUUCCACCUAUAAUCAGAUUUUUCAUUUGAUGUUCCAUUGAUAAGAUGAUGAUAAACACUGCAAAGAAAAACAAAACAAAAAAACUCUCCUGUCAGGUUAAACUCUACUGUCCAAAUUUUGGUUCUAAAAGCAAUAAAAGUGAAUCCUAACUUGUUAACAAUUUUCGAAGCUAAGUAAAAGUAGCAGCAAAAAUAGUUUGAUAGAGGUGAUUCCACCAAAAUCACAGUGAUACUUCAAACCACAUUUGAAAGGCAAAGUGUGUUUGUUGUGUGGGAAAAUAUACAUCCUAGUGCACAAAUGGAAAAAUAAGAUUACCCACAUGGAUCCGUGUUGAAUUCAACAUAAACUCAAACACACAAAACCCAUGUUGGUCAAACACACAAAUUUGAUUCAAAAAACCAUGGUAUUCAAGAUUGAAAAUUUGGUUUAAUAGCAUACUUAUCAUGUUGGUCAAACACAAAUUGAUUCAAAAAAACCAUAGUAUUCAAGAUUGAAAUUUUGGUUUAAUAGGGUUUUAUAUUGGGAACUUGGGAUCUAGUGCCAACUCGUCACGGUCAGACUCAAAACUGGGAUAGCAGGAUCACAAAAAGUGGGAUGGUUGGGCUAGUGAACUUUUGUCUACCAUAUAUACAUACUAAAUCAAUGAUAAAUACAUGAUAGAACAGAGGAGAAGGAGACAAAGUGGGUAGAAGACGCUCACCAGAGAUAGUUCAGAGGUCUUGUCGUGAUGGUCCUCGGUCGGCUCUAAGUCGAAGUGGAUAGAAGAUAGCGAAAGAUUGAACAAAAUACAGUGCUAGGGUUUUUUCCAUGGCGAAAACCCCUGAAUGGAAACCCCAACAUUUACAUUUGGGAAACAGUUUUGGAAUUGGGCAUUCACUAUCCCACCGGGAUUUUGGCUAGGAUCCCAGCGGGGAUGGCCGGGACUAUGAACUGGGUCGGGAUAGGAAAAUUCAUCACAUGCCUGGCUAAGACGAGAUUGACAACUUAUCGUGGGAUUAGGUUAUUGAAUGGCGAGUUGAAUUGUGAAUCAGAAUAGCUAUUUUUCGAAUCGCGCAUCAUUUUUUUCUUGUAAGAUAGAUACAUGAUUCACAAAAAAUCAAGUUAUAAAUGAAACAUAAGUUGAUAACAUAUAAUAAACUAUAAACCUUAAAAUAAUACAAGUUCUAAGCCAUAAAUCAAAAUAAGAAAAAAAGAUAGGAGGUGCUUGCAUAAGGUAAGGUAUUCAACCCCUUCAAAAAACAUGACCAAAUGCAAAUUAUUUUCCUACUUCAUAUACUUAGAUCCAAGUAAAUAAUCAUAAUCUAACUAAUUGAAUCAUUCAUCAUCCCCAAAUUCAACACUAGUGUUAUUGAAUAGUCGUCCUGGCAAUAUCUCAUGGUGGAUUUUUGGCUCAUCCCCAUCUCAAGUGCAACUCGCCCACAACUUUAAAUCGUAAGAUUUAACAACGAAUCACAAAUCGUAAAAUUCACUGCUGACUCGAAGAUACAUAAUGAGAAUCAAGUUCAUUUUAGGUUCACACACCAUACUUAUUGUUGCCUUAAUAAUUUGUAUCGUAUCAUCAUGAUCAUGACACGCAUCUUGGUAUCAAUGUCAUACCAAUAACUAUGUCAUACAUAAAGGUUUUGUGAGGAUGAAGAUGAAGGGAAGGUUCAAACCUUGAGGAGGGGCUAAUUUACUAACAACUAAUAUUUUCCUAUAAAAAAAUACCGAUUUGGGGCAGUAAUGAUUCAUGAACCACUACAUAGUAAAACACCCCUAAACACCCCUUUUUCCUGCAGAUUUGGCCAAAUAAUACACUGAACUAACCACCUAAAUACACAUGACUUACCAUAAAGCACAGAACCGUGUAAAAUUGAAAUUCCUAAAUUAGGGAUUUGGCCAAAUAAUACACUGAACUAACCACCUAAAUACACAUGACUUACCAUAAAGCACAGAACCGUGUAAAAUUGAAAUUCCUAAAUUAGGGAUUUGGCCAAAUAAUACACUGAACUAACCACCUUUUACACGGUUCUGUGCUUUAUGGUUAGUCAUGUGUAUUUAGGUGGUUAGUUCAGUGUAUUAUUUGGUCAAAUCCGCAGAAAAAAUGGUGUUUAGGGUGUUUCUACUAUUCAGUGGUUCAGGAAUCAUUUUUCGAUUUGGAGAAAAGAAAAUAGUCGGAUUCCAGAUUUAACAUGCCAAAAUCACUUCUCUUCACAAGGUGGUUAGUUCAGUGUAUUAUUUGGUCAAAUCCGCAGAAAAAAUGGUGUUUAGGGUGUUUCUACUAUUCAGUGGUUCAGGUAUCAUUUUUCGAUUUGGAGAAAAGUAACUAGUCGGAUUCCGGAUUUAACAUGCCAAAAUCACUUCUCUUCACAAGAGCUAUUCUUAUAGCAUGUUUGGAUCGGCGGUGGCAUAAACCCAAAACACAUGAAUCCCAAAAAUUACACUCCUAAUAGUUACUCCCCGAAUCAAUAUUCUUAUAAUGCCCAAACUUCAAUCGUUCUGCAGCCAAAAAAAUCUAUAAAAAAACAAACAACUAAAAAAUAAAUAUUUAUGCAGCUAUGCUAGUAUAUAUUCACCCAGUUCACAAAAUCAACAACACAAUAAAAUCAAACUAACUGCAAAGUGACGAAGAGGAAACGAAUAUGGAGAAGAAGCUUACCUUGGUUUUCGUGCUAAGAGAUGAAACGGAGAGAAAAUCGAACUUCUGAGAUGUGCGCGGCGAGGUAGAGAAGAAGAGAAACAGAAAGUGGAGCGGUUUGGUGAAAUGUUUUGCGAAUUGGCUGUUUUUGCCGCCUUAGCGCCAUUUUCAUAUGCUUUUCUUCCCUCCCUGAAUUUUCGAGAAUUUUGGUGUGGAAAUUUUGCCGCUGGAAUGGGGAAAAUGUUUACAUCAGUUUAGGGAUUUGACUCGACUAAAGUGAAGACGAAACUUUCUUUCUAAAGGUAAAGUUACUUCCUGC
Molecule: long non-coding RNA, 3519 nt
Filed under: Lotus japonicus
Lineage: Eukaryota; Viridiplantae; Streptophyta; Magnoliopsida; Fabales; Fabaceae
Description: long non-coding RNA (LJAP_LNC002012)
Source: RNAcentral